Amblyraja radiata (thorny skate) is the source of this 3198-nucleotide RNA transcript. It is a transcript of the gene named fem-1 homolog b, with no coding region annotated. The record is from RefSeq and is a predicted model, not a curated record. NCBI's taxonomy places the organism in Eukaryota, Metazoa, Chordata, Chondrichthyes, Rajiformes, Rajidae. The transcript is spliced from 3 exons.
GCCGGGCGGGGCUAGGAUCGGGCGCGAUGGCGAGCGGAGCGGGAGCGGGACGGGGACGGAGACGGAGGGAAGCCGAGGGCGGCUGAUGGAGUCGCUGGCCGCCUACGUGUACAAGGCGGCGAGCGAGGGCCGGGUGCUGACGCUGGCCGCGCUGCUGCUCAACCGCUCGGAGGUGGAGAGCCGGCGGCUGUUGGCGCAGGUGAGCCCGGGGCCUGGUGUGGGGCCUGGUGUGGGCCCGGGGCCUGGGCCUGGGCAGCGGGCCACGCCGCUGAUCGCCGCCUCCCGUAACGGCCACGCCAAGGUGGUGAGGCUGCUGCUGGAACACUACGGCGUGGAGACGGAGCAGGCCGGCACCGUCCGCUUCGACGGCUACGUGAUCGACGGCGCCACGGCGCUGUGGUGCGCGGCCGGAGCCGGACACCUGGACGUGGUCAAGCUGCUGGUGGCCGGCGGCGCCAACGUCAACCACACCACGGCCACCAACUCCACCCCGCUCCGCGCCGCCUGCUUCGACGGCAGGCUCGACAUUGUGCGCUUCCUGGUGGAGAACCGCGCCGACAUCCGCAUCGCCAACAAGUACGACAACACAUGCCUGAUGAUCGCCGCCUACAAGGGCCACAGCCAGGUGGUCAGGUACCUGUUGGAGCAGCACGCUGAUCCCAAUGCCAAGGCACAAUGUGGAGCCACUGCACUACACUUUGCGGCUGAAGCUGGCCACCUAGAGAUCGUGAGGGAGCUGGUGAAGUGGCGGGCAACCAUGGUGGUGAAUGGGCACGGCAUGACUCCCCUGAAGGUGGCGGCAGAGAGCUGCAAGGCUGACGUGGUGGAGCUGCUGCUGUCGCAUGUGGACUGCGACCUUGAGAGUCGCAUCGAGGCCCUGGAGUUGCUGGGUGCCUCCUUCGCCAACGACCGGGAGAACUACGACAUCGAGAAGACCUACCACUACCUGUACCUGGCCAUGCUGGAGCGGCACCGUGACUCUGACCAUCCGCUGGACAAGGACACCCUCCCUUCCAUCGAGGCCUACAGUGGGCGCACAGAGAGCAGGACGCCGCAGGAGCUGGAGUCUAUCCGGCAGGACAGGGACGCCCUUCAUAUGGAAGGGCUGAUUGUCCGCGAGCGGAUCCUGGGCUCCGACAACAUUGACGUUUCGCACCCCAUCAUCUACAGGGGGGCCGUGUACGCGGACAGCAUGGAGUUCGAGCAGUGCAUCAAGUUGUGGCUCCACGCCUUGCACUUGAGGCAGAAGGGCAACCGCAACACCCACAAAGACCUCCUCCGCUUUGCUCAGGUCUUCUCACAGAUGAUUCACCUCAACGAGCCCGUGAAAGCCAGGGACAUCGAGAAUGUCCUGAAGUGCAGCGUGCUGGAAAUAGAAAGGGGCAUGUCGCGAAUCAAAAGCUCGUCGGACAUCGACGUCCACGCUGCCAUGGACAAUUGCGAAUCGAACAUUUUUACCUUUCUGUACCUGGUCUGCAUCUCCACCAAAACCCAGUGCAAUGAUGAGGAGCGGGCACGCAUCAACAAACAGAUCUACAAGCUGGUUCACCUCAAUCCCCGGACCCGGGAGGGUUCCAGCCUGUUGCAUCUGGCGGUGAACUCUGGCACACCGGUGGAUGACUUCCACACCAGCGACGUGUGCAGCUUUCCCAGCGCUCAGGUCACCAAGCUGCUGCUGGACUGCGGCGCUGACAUGAAUGCGGUGGACAAGGACGGCAAUGGGCCGCUGCACAUUAUCGUGCAGUACAACCGCCCCAUCAGUGACUUCCUCACCCUGCAUGCCAUCAUCAUCAGCUUGGUGGAGGCCGGCGCCCAUGCUGACAUGACCAACAAACAGAAGAAGACUCCGCUGGACAAGAGCACAACUGGUGUGUCCGAAAUCCUCCUCAAGACUCAGAUGAAGAUGAGCCUGAAGUGCCUGGCUGCCCGAGCAGUGAGAGUUAACAACAUCAGUUACAAAAGUCAGAUCCCUCAGUCCUUAGAAGAAUUUGUAGAAUUGCAUUGACUCUUGAGAUAUUCAGAUGAUUCUUUACCAGACUGGUACUAGGUAUGUCCAUAACGCAUUGGUUUAUGGAAUUGGCCUGCUCAUUGUAUGCUUUGUCUUAUCCUGUCUUCAUUCCAAACCCAUUCCACAGCAAUUCAGAUUGUCAUUGGUGCUUUGUCAAAUCGGCCAGUGUGAUGCAAAGUGGGUACAAAAGUAAACUUUCAUAAAGAUGUACCAAUGUAAGGUGAAGAUCAAACCUUCUGUCUUCCAAUAACAAUAGAAUAUGAGAGGUGGGAGCAGGCCAUAUUUGUUAGCCCACUCCAUAAUUUAGUAAGAUUAUGGUUUGUCCGUUCUUUGACCACUGUUUCUCUGCCUGAUAUCUUUAUUCCCAUUUAGUCCAAACAUGUAUCGCAACCUUGAAUUCAUUUGGUAAUUAAUCGUAAAUUAUUUUUAAAAAGAAUUAAAGAAAAUACGUCAGAGCUGCAGGUAACACAUUUUCUAUGUAAAGACUGGAUCUGUUUGUAAAUGACCAUUAGUCUGCCCUUUUGGCACAGCUGGUUUCAACUGUGAAGAGCAGGAAGAUAUUAUUUUAUCUCACACUUGUCCAUGCUGGGUUGCAGUUAAGAUUGAAGGUUUCAUUGCUCCUGUGUUACAGCAGUUGGGAAUGUUAAGAACAGCAGAGAGUACAGUUUGUUCAGUAUGUUUGGAGAAUGCCAGAGAGUUUGAGGUGCUGUUUUUGGUGAGCAAUCUUGCUGCACUGCAAUUGCUGCAGGCGCUUGAUCUGGCUGCACAUCUGACUCUUUAGUAAUACAUCCCUCGGUCACAUCUUGUUGUUACUGUGCAAGGUGUAUAUUUUGCUGCUCAAUAGAACCAAGACCUUGGAACGUUAUCAGAAAACCAAGCCCUUUAUUUGGCAAAGAGUGGCUCUAAUCCAGGCACUGAGGGGAAGGCUCCAGUCACUUGCCAAUCUUACUUUACUAGACUCUUGGAGUUAAAGGGUUGGGUAGGGUUGAGGUAAUCCAGGUGUGGUUUUUCUUAAAGAAAUGGGAAGCUGUGCCAAACGUAACUCUUCAAAUGACUGUUCACCUAUGCGAGCUGUCAAGUUAAUAUUGCACAGUUUUAUGCCCCUGUCCCACUUAGGAAACCUGAACGGAAACCUCUGGUGAGGUUGCGCCCAACCCAAGGUUUCCGUGUGGUUCCCGGAGGUUUUGGUC